UAGUAAUGUAACAAUUAUUAAUCUUGA
RNAcentral lists this non-coding RNA (27 nucleotides) under Mus musculus (house mouse). Lineage: Eukaryota; Metazoa; Chordata; Mammalia; Rodentia; Muridae. The record is from RNAcentral.